UACGUAGGGGGCAAGCGUUGUCCGGAAUCAUUGGGCGUAAAGAGCGUGUAGGCGGCUCGAUAAGUCUGCUGUGAAAGUCCAGGGCUCAACCCUGGAAGGCCGGUGGAAACUGUCGGGCUAGAGUCCGGAAGAGGCGAGUGGAAUUCCCGGUGUAGCGGUGAAAUGCGCAGAUAUCGAGAGGAACACCGGUGGCGAAGGCGGCCAACUGGACAGAUACUGACGCUGAGACUCGAAAGCGUGGGGAGCAAACAGG
Molecule: ribosomal RNA, 253 nt
Filed under: uncultured bacterium
Lineage: Bacteria
Description: partial 16S ribosomal RNA
Rfam family: Bacterial small subunit ribosomal RNA
Source: RNAcentral